Molecule: long non-coding RNA, 1048 nt
Organism: Hippocampus zosterae (dwarf seahorse)
Lineage: Eukaryota; Metazoa; Chordata; Actinopteri; Syngnathiformes; Syngnathidae
Exons: 3
Source: RefSeq, a predicted model, not a curated record
CGUGCUGGUGGAUUACACCAUACGCAAGUUCUACGUCCAACACAUCAGAAGCAUGGAAUGGCUCGUUCUGGGCAACGAUUUUCACUUAACACUUUGUUCAUCUCGUAGCAAUCGAAUGAUGCCGCGUGUGGUCACGCCGCUCCAUUUCACCAACUGGCCCAACUUCGGCGUGUCCUUCUCUCCCAUCGGCAUGCUCAAGUUCCAAGAAAGUCAAAGGCGCUCAAGCCGCCCGUCGCGCCCAUCGUGGUCCACUGCAGCGCUGACGUUGGUCAGACGGGCAGGUUCAUCGUGAUUGAUGGUAUGAUGGACAAGAUGCACGCUGGACACAAAGCGGUAGUUUGGAAAUCCGAGAGCAGCGUCUGCAGCUCUUCCAGACCGACAUGCAGUAUUUGUUCAUCUACCAGGCGCCAAAAUGCGUAACUCUCACCGCCUUAACUGUAUUUGUGAUUUAAUGUGAACUGUUCUGUAAUCCCGAAUGCAUUAUCGCCUGACCCCAUCACCUGCCUAUCCUCUUGAACAAAAUCCCUUGAACCCUUACUCUGAAGGCCUAACCUCUAAUGCCUAUACAGAUAAUUACCUAACCUAAGAGGCCGAUCUGCUUUACCCUAAUUUCUAACUGCAAUCUCAAACCUCGAGCGCCAACCCUGAACAUCGUGCCCUCAACCAUAAAACCCUAACACUGUCAACCCCAUCUUUUAAUCCCUAAUCCUACCCCUCACCACUUUAACCAUAUUCCAAAUGCAAACUCUAAACCUCAACCUGAAUCCUAAAUUCCCUUGCACCCUCAGACCCAGGGGUGUCCGAACUCUGUCCUUGGGCGGCUGUCCUGCCCGUUUCCCAGCUCCCCCAAGAGCAACACGCCUGAUUCAAAUAAUCAGGAUCGUUGUAAUGCUGCUUCAGAGAUGCCUGAUGAGCUGAUCAUCUGAAUCAAGUGUGUUGCAGCCGGGAGAGAUGCAAAACGGCCGGGACAGCAGCCCUUGACGACAGUUUGGACACCACUGGUUUAAGGGUAAAGGGAAAUUAGGAUGAAGGUUAGUUUAGAGUGAGC